Molecule: ribosomal RNA, 447 nt
Filed under: uncultured bacterium
Lineage: Bacteria
Description: bacterial SSU rRNA
Rfam family: Bacterial small subunit ribosomal RNA
Source: RNAcentral
UCGGGAAUUUUGGGCAAUGGGCGAAAGCCUGACCCAGCAACGCCGCGUGAAGGAUGAAGUAUUUCGGUAUGUAAACUUCGAAAGAAUAGGAAGAAUAAAUGACGGUACUAUUUAUAAGGUCCGGCUAACUACGUGCCAGCAGCCGCGGUAAUACGUAGGGACCAAGCGUUGUUCGGAUUUACUGGGCGUAAAGGGCGCGUAGGCGGCAAUUCAAGUCAUCUGUGAAAUCUCCGGGCUUAACUCGGAACGGUCAGAUGAUACUGCUUUGCUAGAGUGCAGAAGGGGCAAUCGGAAUUCUUGGUGUAGCGGUGAAAUGCGUAGAUAUCAAGAGGAACACCUGAGGUGAAGACGGGUUGCUGGGCUGACACUGACGCUGAGGCACGAAAGCGUGGGGAGCGAACGGGAUUAGAUACCCCUGUAGUCCCUGAGCGGGCUGGCAAGGCGCAU